Molecule: ribosomal RNA, 914 nt
Filed under: Weissella paramesenteroides
Lineage: Bacteria; Bacillati; Bacillota; Bacilli; Lactobacillales; Lactobacillaceae
Description: bacterial SSU rRNA
Rfam family: Bacterial small subunit ribosomal RNA
Source: RNAcentral
UAUGAUGUGUUUUUUUUCUUCGUCAGGAUGAACGCUGGCGGCGUGCAUAAUACAUGCAAGUCGAACGCUUUGUCUUUAAUUGAUAUGAAGAGCUUGCUCUGAUGUGAUUUUAUCUGACAAAGAGUGGCGAACGGGUGAGUAACACGUGGGUAACCUACCUCUUAGCAGGGGAUAACAUUUGGAAACAAGUGCUAAUACCGUAUAAUACCAACAACCGCAUGGUUGUUGGUUGAAAGAUGGUUCUGCUAUCACUAAGAGAUGGACCCGCGGUGCAUUAGCUAGUUGGUAAGGUAACGGCUUACCAAGGCAAUGAUGCAUAGCCGAGUUGAGAGACUGAUCGGCCACAAUGGGACUGAGACACGGCCCAUACUCCUACGGGAGGCAGCAGUAGGGAAUCUUCCACAAUGGGCGCAAGCCUGAUGGAGCAACGCCGCGUGUGUGAUGAAGGGUUUCGGCUCGUAAAACACUGUUAUAAGAGAAGAACGGCACUGAGAGUAACUGUUCAGUGUGUGACGGUAUCUUACCAGAAAGGAACGGCUAAAUACGUGCCAGCAGCCGCGGUAAUACGUAUGUUCCAAGCGUUAUCCGGAUUUAUUGGGCGUAAAGCGAGCGCAGACGGUUAUUUAAGUCUGAAGUGAAAGCCCUCAGCUCAACUGAGGAAUGGCUUUGGAAACUGGAUGACUUGAGUGCAGUAGAGGAAAGUGGAACUCCAUGUGUAGCGGUGAAAUGCGUAGAUAUAUGGAAGAACACCAGUGGCGAAGGCGGCUUUCUGGACUGUAACUGACGUUGAGGCUCGAAAGUGUGGGUAGCAAACAGGAUUAGAUACCCUGGUAGUCCACACCGUAAACGAUGAGUGCUAGAUGUUCGAGGGUUUCCGCCCUUGAGUGUCGCAGCUAACGCAUUAAGCACUCCGC